This is a long non-coding RNA of Bufo bufo (common toad), 169 nucleotides long. RefSeq lists it as uncharacterized. The record is from RefSeq and is a predicted model, not a curated record. The transcript has 3 exons. Lineage: Eukaryota; Metazoa; Chordata; Amphibia; Anura; Bufonidae.
GCUCUGCACAUUCCCCCCUCCCCUUGAUUGAUAAAGAUAGACUUCAGGCAGAGCCCUGUCCAAGAGCUGUGUGCUAGCAAGUAAAUAUCAUAUACACCAUGUACUGUAGAUUCACCACACUGAGAUCUGCUCAGAAAGCUAAUCUACAUAUUACUACUUUAUUCACAGG